This 29-nucleotide transfer RNA is filed under the name Brachythecium salebrosum. RNAcentral's name for it is "partial tRNA-Cys". Lineage: Eukaryota; Viridiplantae; Streptophyta; Bryopsida; Hypnales; Brachytheciaceae. The record is from RNAcentral.
CCUCUGCCUUACCACUUGGCCAUAUCGCC